This is a non-coding RNA of Odocoileus virginianus texanus, 1868 nucleotides long. The record is from RefSeq and is a predicted model, not a curated record. Lineage: Eukaryota; Metazoa; Chordata; Mammalia; Artiodactyla; Cervidae.
UCUGAUGGACUGAAGAGCCUGGUGGGCUACAGUCCAUGGAAUCACAAAAGAUUUGGACAUGACUUAGCAACUGGAAACAAGAGCAAAGGAUGGUGAGGAAUGGGGGAUAAUGACUUUGAAGAAGAGACUCAGAGGGGCAGAGGUGGGAGCCACAGUAACCCUGCCUGGCUCCAAGGCCAGAACGUGGCUAUGACAAAGCACUGAGAACCAACUCCGACAGAACUGUCCCUCAAUGAAAAUGAUUGUGUUUGGAAAUAGUGAGCACCCCAUCACUGGUAGUAUGCAAGUGGAGUGAGGAAAGGAUUCCUGCUUCAAGCUCCCAGUUUCAGCAAAAAUACUGGCCCUACUGAUAAAACCAUCCUUUGUCUGCUAUAUAUAGAUGUAUCAUAGUCAACAAAUAUGUAAUCCAUAUUUCCCCUAUUUUAAGGUGUACUUUAAGAAAUGAAUAUUUCUGAAACUGGGGCUGUCUUAAGUCAGUGUGUACGCUUCAUGCAUAAUGCAUCCUUCUUUCUGAAAAGUUGUUAUUCAAGCUUUUUUGAAUCAGCAAAAUGAAGUGUACACUUUGGGAAGUUGUUCUGACAAUCUGUAUUUCAUCUUACAUUUGCCCUAUUAGAAUGCAUGUCUUGACUUUAAAGAAAUCUAUCUAAAUAAAUGAUGUGUACGAAAAAAAAAAUCCAACUUUCUCUUCUUAGUGAAGCCAUACUCAAAUGUAUUGAAUCCAGCAGCAGGUGACAUUCCACCUUGUUGCUGCCAUCCUGGCAUCAGAAGUGGAAGCGAGACAGGCUAUUAAAUUGGCUUUUAACAGAUUCAGAACAGAAGGUUCUUGGCUAGGGGAAAAAAAUUCCACUUAUCAAGAGAUGUUAUCCCUUCAAAGGAUGAGAAACUAUUUCUUCAUAAAGAGAGUUUGGAGGAAGCUUUUUGUUCUGUGAGGACAACAUCUGGAUUUGAAUAUGUCCAUCCUCAAAAGGAGAUUUUUCUCAUAAUGGAUCGGGCUCAAAACACUCAGAGCAUAAGGAUCGGUGCUUUUUCAAAAGGAGACACUUGCGGAGGCGUGAGGGGGGCCCUCCUGUCUCUGCAGCGCCAGCUCUGGAGGUCCAGGAGGGCCCCCGCGCCCUUGACUAACUUUCACACUGAAAGCCUCUCCAUCAUCUUCUGCCUCCCCACCCUACUCCGGGAAUUUGGGACCUGAAUGCAUUUUGAAACAUUUGUGGUUUCAGGAGGCUUUCUUAAAAAAAAAAAAAAAACCUGCCAAGGAUAUAUUACCAUGAAAGAUCAUUUGAGAGGCUAGAAAGAAGGAAGCCAGGCCAAGGCUGGCGCGGGCUGUGCUGUAAGUUUGAGAAGGAUGCCACGCGGAGCCGGGCCACCUGUGGACCAGCCAGACGGACACAUGCCCGCCGACGCGGGUUUGAAUCCCGGCUCUGCGGGUCCCUUCCGACGCGACCUUGGGGGAAGUUGUGUAACGUCUGCGCCCUGCGACGCUCUUCCCCGGAGCCUAGAACUGGAAAGAAGCCCCUGGAAGCCCUGACAUCAGAGGUGACGCGAGCCUUCGCAGGCGAUGACUAGGCAGAACCCGUCGCCACUCCCUUUCCCGCGUCCCGGCCGCUCUGCGCGGGUGUGUCGCCUCCGACCAGGUGGUUGUGGCUCCUGCAGCAGCUUUCUUUAGCCCCACGCUGCGUCUGGCCUGCCCUGCUGCCCCUGAUGGUUUGAGGACCGAAAGGUUCAGGAAGAUCAGAAGAGAAGAGGAGCAGAAAAAGUAUUUUAACAGUGGAAACUUUUGCGCAAGCAAAACCUUAGGAAGAAUAUAUAAAAUAGAGCUGCUCUGGAGCCUCACCCACUCUCGAAACUGUCAUUAAAUCCUGCGGUGGGGA